This 183-nucleotide small nucleolar RNA is filed under the name Castor canadensis (American beaver). RNAcentral describes it as "Small Cajal body specific RNA 16 (ENSCCNG00000019856.1)". It matches the Rfam family "Small Cajal body specific RNA 16". From Rfam's summary of the family: scaRNAs are a specific class of small nuclear RNAs which localise to the Cajal bodies and guide the modification of RNA polymerase II transcribed spliceosomal RNAs U1, U2, U4, U5 and U12. ACA47 belongs to the H/ACA box class of guide RNAs as it has the predicted hairpin-hinge-hairpin-tail structure, the conserved H/ACA-box motifs and is found associated with GAR1. ACA47 is predicted to guide the pseudouridylation of residue U5 of the U1 spliceosomal snRNA. Lineage: Eukaryota; Metazoa; Chordata; Mammalia; Rodentia; Castoridae. The record is from Rfam by way of RNAcentral.
AUGGUCGGGGAAGGGCUUGUGUGUUGUUGAGCCUGCCCAGCGGUGGAUGCAGCCAUGUACCAGGCAGCCCAACCUUGACCUAAAGUAAAUUCCAAGAAUCCUUCUGGGGAUUUAAAUUUACAGUGACAGGUGUGAGCGUUCUAGCAGCAGUUUUGAUAUUCAUGUAUGAUACUGCAGUCAGUC